UUUGAGUUCCUGUUCUCCCCUAACCAGCUGGGCCCCUGGCAGGACACUUGGCCUCCCUGAGUUUCAGUUUCCCAGACUGUUAACUCUGCUGGUCCCACCUGCUUCUCAGAGAGAGCAGUGGGUUGAUGGUGCAAUCCAGGAGGGGCUGAGGGAAAACAUGAGUAUCGUGAUGCAUGACGGGAAUUACCAAAACGGUGCCUCUGAAGAAAGGAUUCAUCAGGGGACACAUGGCCCUUAUGAGCAUUAAGCUGUUGGGACAACAGGAGAAAAAGAUUAUAUCAAGAAACAAAAGGGAAUGGUUCAAGAUGCAGGUGAAAGAGAAUGAGCACCAUUGACAGGUGGCAUAUGGCAAGCGACACCCAAGGCUGGGGAUUGCUGGGAGCCCCUGUGCAGAGAGAGGGGCUUUGGAAGCAGACGUGGUGUGCGUCCUGCCCACCACGUUUUAGCUGCAUGCUCUGGGCCAGGCACCUCGCCUCUCAGAGACUCUAACUGAUCUGUAAAAUGAAAAUAAGCUCUUUCUCCUAAGAGUCAUAAGAAUUAAAAACAGGAUAUAUAAAGUUCUUGACUGACCAUAGCCCCCCAGUAAAUGUUAUUUUCUUCCCCCCUCCCCUCCCAGGGGGAAGGAAGCAGUAAUAGACACGGGAGCAGAGCUCACCAGGAAAGACCACAGGAGUCUGGUUUAAAGGAAGCCCGCAGAGCCCGGACAGGGUGGAUUCGAGCAAAGGUGGGGGGUGGACUCAGCCGUGGACUGGAUUGGACACCGGCUGCCUCUGUGCAACCCUGGUGUUGCUUCAAAGCAGAGUAGGAACAGGAGCAAAGAGGGUUCAGCCCCAAGGAGUGGCAGUUCCACUAGCACAUGGCUGGACAUGCCACCCUGUUUUUUGUACUUUACAAGGGGAGCUUCUCCUCGCUGUAUGAAAGGCCUGAGACGGACAGUGGGUGUCACCCUUUGGAACUGGGGUGUGCUAAGUAGGAUGCCCUCCCUGCCAACCAUAUGCAACCUGUCCCCCAACCGGCAACCCCCUUCAAAUUCCAAAUCCCAA
Manis javanica (Malayan pangolin) is the source of this 1043-nucleotide non-coding RNA. The record is from RefSeq and is a predicted model, not a curated record. Lineage: Eukaryota; Metazoa; Chordata; Mammalia; Pholidota; Manidae.